This 505-nucleotide ribosomal RNA is filed under the name uncultured bacterium. Its description in RNAcentral is "partial 16S ribosomal RNA". It matches the Rfam family "Bacterial small subunit ribosomal RNA", at positions 30 to 523 of the family's 1533-position model. The record is from RNAcentral.
AUUGAACGCUGGCGGCAGGCCUAACACAUGCAAGUCGAACGGUAACAGGAAGCAGCUUGCUGCUUCGCUGACGAGUGGCGGACGGGUGAGUAAUGUCUGGGAAACUGCCUGAUGGAGGGGGAUAACUACUGGAAACGGUAGCUAAUACCGCAUAAUGUCGCAAGACCAAAGAGGGGGACCUUCGGGCCUCUUGCCAUCGGAUGUGCCCAGAUGGGAUUAGCUAGUAGGUGGGGUAACGGCUCACCUAGGCGACGAUCCCUAGCUGGUCUGAGAGGAUGACCAGCCACACUGGAACUGAGACACGGUCCAGACUCCUACGGGAGGCAGCAGUGGGGAAUAUUGCACAAUGGCGCAAGCCUGAUGCAGCCAUGCCGCGUGUAUGAAGAAGGCCUUCGGGUUGUAAAGUACUUUCAGCGGGGAGGAAGGGAGUAAAGUUAAUACCUUUGCUCAUUGACGUUACCCGCAGAAGAAGCACCGGCUAACUCCGUGCCAGCAGCCGCAGUAA